This 495-nucleotide ribosomal RNA is filed under the name uncultured bacterium. RNAcentral's name for it is "partial 16S ribosomal RNA". It matches the Rfam family "Bacterial small subunit ribosomal RNA", at positions 30 to 507 of the family's 1533-position model. The record is from RNAcentral.
UGAACGCUGGCGGCGUGCCUAAUACAUGCAAAUCGAGCGAACGGACGAGAAGCUUGCUUCUCUGAUGUUAGCGGCGGACGGGUGAGUAACACGUGGAUAACCUACCUAUAAGACUGGGAUAACUUCGGGAAACCGGAGCUAAUACCGGAUAAUAUUUUGAACCGCAUGGUUCAAAAGUGAAAGACGGUCUUGCUGUCACUUAUAGAUGGAUCCGCGCUGCAUUAGCUAGUUGGUAAGGUAACGGCUUACCAAGGCAACGAUGCAUAGCCGACCUGAGAGGGUGAUCGGCCACACUGGAACUGAGACACGGUCCAGACUCCUACGGGAGGCAGCAGUAGGGAAUCUUCCGCAAUGGGCGAAAGCCUGACGGAGCAACGCCGCGUGAGUGAUGAAGGUCUUCGGAUCGUAAAACUCUGUUAUUAGGGAAGAACAUAUGUGUAAGUAACUGUGCACAUCUUGACGGUACCUAAUCAGAAAGCCACGGCUAACUACGUG